RNAcentral lists this non-coding RNA (29 nucleotides) under Homo sapiens (human). Lineage: Eukaryota; Metazoa; Chordata; Mammalia; Primates; Hominidae. The record is from RNAcentral.
UCCACACCUGCUCUCUGCUUACUAAAUGC